RNAcentral lists this ribosomal RNA (468 nucleotides) under uncultured bacterium. Its description in RNAcentral is "partial 16S ribosomal RNA". It matches the Rfam family "Bacterial small subunit ribosomal RNA", at positions 28 to 507 of the family's 1533-position model. The record is from RNAcentral.
AACGAACGCUGGCGGCGUGCCUAACACAUGCAAGUCGAACGGAAACGCCCUGUCUUUGUGGGGUGCGCGAGUGGCGAACGGGUGAGUAACACGUGAGUACCUUGCCUUUGGCUUUGGGAUAACCUAAGGAAACUGGGUCUAAUACGGGAUAGGAGUUCCUGCCGCAUGGUGGGGGCUGGAAAGAUUCGGCGGUUGGGGAUGGACUCGCGCCUUAUCAGCUUGUUGGUGGGGUAGUGGUUUACCAAGGCUUUGACGGGUAGCCGGCCCGAGCGGGUGGCCUGCCACAUCGGUCCGGAGAUGCGGCCCAGACGCGAACGUUAGGCAACGGUGGGGAGCAUUACACAGUAGGCUGGAGCCUGUUCUGGUAACGUAGCGUGGGGUGAGUCUGCAUGCGGGUUGUGUACCGCUUCCGCUUGUGACGGGGUGUGAAUGACGGUAACGGGAGAAGAAGCCCCGGCUAACUACGUG